This 253-nucleotide ribosomal RNA is filed under the name uncultured bacterium. Its description in RNAcentral is "partial 16S ribosomal RNA". It matches the Rfam family "Bacterial small subunit ribosomal RNA", at positions 524 to 776 of the family's 1533-position model. The record is from RNAcentral.
UACGAGGGGGGCAAGCGUUGUUCGGAAUUAUUGGGCGUAAAGGGUGCGUAGGCGGCUUGACAAGUCUGAUGUGAAAGCCCCGGGCUCAACCUGGGAACUGCAUUUGAGACUGCUCUGCUCGGGUGCGGAAGAGGGAAGCGGAAUUUCCGGUGUAGCGGUGAAAUGCGUAGAUAUCGGAAGGAACACCAGUGGCGAAAGCGGCUUCCUGGUCCGACACCGACGUUCAGGCACGAAAGCGUGGGGAGCAAACAGG